AGUGAACGCUGGCGGUAGGCCUAACACAUGCAAGUCGAACGGCAGCACAGUAAGAGCUUGCUCUUACGGGUGGCGAGUGGCGGACGGGUGAGGAAUACAUCGGAAUCUACUUUUUCGUGGGGGAUAACGUAGGGAAACUUACGCUAAUACCGCAUACGACCUACGGUUGAAAGCAGGGGAUCUUCGGACCUUGCGCGAUUGAAUGAGCCGAUGUCGGAUUAGCUAGUUGGCGGGGUAAAGGCCCACCAAGGCGACGAUCCGUAGCUGGUCUGAGAGGAUGAGCAGCCACACUGGAACUGAGACACGGUCCAGACUCCUACGGGAGGCAGCAGUGGGGAAUAUUGGACAAUGGGCGCAAGCCUGAUCCAGCCAUACCGCGUGGGUGAAGAAGGCCUUCGGGUUGUAAAGCCCUUUUGUUGGGAAAGAAAAGCAGCAGGUUAAUACCCCGCUGUUCUGACGGUACCCAAAGAAUAAGCACCGGCUAACUUCGUG
RNAcentral lists this ribosomal RNA (492 nucleotides) under uncultured bacterium. Its description in RNAcentral is "partial 16S ribosomal RNA". It matches the Rfam family "Bacterial small subunit ribosomal RNA", at positions 29 to 507 of the family's 1533-position model. The record is from RNAcentral.